This 398-nucleotide ribosomal RNA is filed under the name Aphorma lichenoides. Its description in RNAcentral is "partial small subunit ribosomal RNA". Lineage: Eukaryota; Metazoa; Arthropoda; Insecta; Hemiptera; Liviidae. The record is from RNAcentral.
UGUUAGGUCAAGGUGCAGUAUAAGAAAGAAAAAAAAUGGAUUACUAUAAAAAAAUAUGUAUGAAUUUUAAAUUUAUUUAUUAAAUAAAACAGGAUUUAAAAGUAAACUUAUUAAAGUAAUAAAAUGAAUAUAGAUUCUGGAAUAUGUACACAUUGCCCGUCGCUCUUGCUCAAAGUAAGAUAAGUCGUAACAUAGUAGGUGUACCGGAAGGUGUUCCUGGAAGUAAAAGUAAAUAGCUUAAGAAAAGUUUAUUACUUACACUAAUAAGAUAUUAAUAUAAUUUUGCUUUUUAUUUCAAAUUUUAUGACAGAAAUUAGUGAAAAAUUUUAUGAUAGAUUAUAACUGUAAGGGGGGAGCCUUACAGUAAUGUUAUUAAAAAAUUUAGUAAUUGUACCUUU